AUGACGGAAGAGAACACAAGAAAGGGAAUACACACAGACACACGCACAGACACACAUACACACACACACAUACACCACACAUAUACACACAGACACACACACACACCACACAUAUACACACAGACACACACACACACCACACAUAUACACACAGACACACACACACACACAUACACCACACACACACACAUACACACACAUAUACACAGACACAUAAACACACACACACAUAUACAUACAGACACAUAUAAAUACACACAGACACAUAUAAACACACAUGCACAGACACAUAUACACACAUGCACACAUACACACACACACACACAUACACACACACACAUACACACACACACACACACACAGACACACACACACGAAUGGGUCACUGCUGUACAGCAGAAAUUGGCACAGCAUUGUAAGUUAACUAUAAUUCAAAAUUUUUUAAAAGGCAAAUCUUCUCCAAAGACAGAAAGUGGUGGGGUGAGUGAACAUCUGGAGAGGAAACGGGCAUCUGCCACCCGCUCCCCUUUAGCCUGGGCUGGUAUUGCUUCUGUGUGCCCCGUUGUCACUAAGGGACAGCCCCCCGCCUCAACACCUCUGCUCUCGGUCAGAACAAGGGGCCUUGGGGCUCUUGCCUCCAUCUGGCCUGGGAGGGGCCGUGGGGCAUCUCGGGUUGCCAGCUGUGUGAUCUGGACAAGCCGCUCAACCUCUCUGGACCACAGGGUGGGGGCUCUGCAGGUGGAGGGCUGUGCCCCGAGCCCAUCACUCCAGAUAAAGUUCUAUUUACCAAUAAGGACGUGGCUCCCACGUCACGCAUUUACACAAACGUGUGUUCGUGUCUGUGGGUGGCCUACGUGUGGUCAGGAACGUGCACGGUCCAGCGCGGACACUCUGACCAAUCACUGCCUGGGCCCCGGGCCAGGUGCCUCCGGGACGAAGGCCCAGGUCCUUGUUGGUGGGGACCCUGCACUCCCAAGCCACAGCCCCUGUUCUCAUGGGCGGCGCAGCUCGGGUGGCCGGGCUGGAGGGGAGAAUUCUUGCAGUCAUCUCAUGUGCUCUGUGCACAGGGUUCGGGUCUCCUUCAGGUGGGUGAAGGGGCCAAAGUUACUGAUGAAUUUAUUUCGCUACGUGCGAUCUUUAUUCCCGCAAUGUGUUGCCUGCUUGCUGUGUCUGGGGUUUGGGAAGCAGAGGACAAGGAAAUCCAGCUGA
Molecule: long non-coding RNA, 1209 nt
Filed under: Sus scrofa (pig)
Lineage: Eukaryota; Metazoa; Chordata; Mammalia; Artiodactyla; Suidae
Description: lncRNA (ENSSSCG00070006494.1)
Source: RNAcentral